Molecule: unclassified non-coding RNA, 341 nt
Filed under: soil metagenome
Description: partial contains 5.8S ribosomal RNA, internal transcribed spacer 2, and large subunit ribosomal RNA
Rfam family: 5.8S ribosomal RNA (bases 1-120)
Source: RNAcentral
GAUGAAGAACGCAGCGAAAUGCGAUAAGUAGUGUGAAUUGCAGAAUUCAGUGAAUCAUCGAAUCUUUGAACGCACAUUGCGCCCUUUGGUAUUCCAAAGGGCAUGCCUGUUCGAGCGUCAUUUGUACCCUCAAGCUUUGCUUGGUGUUGGGCGUCUUGUCUCUAGCUUUGCUGGAGACUCGCCUUAAAGUAAUUGGCAGCCGGCCUACUGGUUUCGGAGCGCAGCACAAGUCGCACUCUCUAUCAGCAAAGGUCUAGCAUCCAUUAAGCCUUUUCUUCAACUUUUGACCUCGGAUCAGGUAGGGAUACCCGCUGAACUUAAGCAUAUCAAUAAGCGGAGGA